AUACGUAGGGGGCGAGCGUUGUCCGGAAUGAUUGGGCGUAAAGGGCGCGUAGGCGGCGCGGUAAGUCUGGAGUGAAAGUCCUGCUUUCAAGGGGGGAAUUGCUUUGGAUACUGCCGCGCUUGAGUGCAGGAGAGGUUAUCGGGAUUCCCGGUGUAGCGGUGGAAUGCGUAGAGAUCGGGAGGAACACCAGCGGCGAAGGCGGGUAACUGGACUGCAACUGACGCUGAGGCGCGAAAGUGUGGGGAGCAAACAGGAUUAGAUACCCUGGUAGUCCACACUGUAAACGAUGAAUGCUAGGUGUAAGAGGUAUCGACCCCUUUUGUGCCGGAGUCAACACAAUAAGCAUUCCGCCUGGGGAGUACGGCCGCAAGGUUGAAACUCAAAUGAAUUGACGGGG
RNAcentral lists this ribosomal RNA (397 nucleotides) under uncultured bacterium. RNAcentral's name for it is "partial 16S ribosomal RNA". It matches the Rfam family "Bacterial small subunit ribosomal RNA", at positions 523 to 918 of the family's 1533-position model. The record is from RNAcentral.